Molecule: long non-coding RNA, 213 nt
Organism: Patiria miniata (bat star)
Lineage: Eukaryota; Metazoa; Echinodermata; Asteroidea; Valvatida; Asterinidae
Exons: 3
Source: RefSeq, a predicted model, not a curated record
AUUAUAAUGAUGAUGUGACAUUGGAUUUUAACAGGAACUGUUAGCAGUAGUGCUGCCUCAGCAGAAGUACCUGAUGGAAACUCAAAAAUCCAAUGUAAGAGCAGUACGGGCCAAGCAAGCAAUCCGGAUUUAGGCGCACGAAAGAGGAAAACUACCCACAAAUUGAAAUCCCAAAGACAGCUGUUUGAAAGCGGAGGUGUCAGUAGACAAAGA